RNAcentral lists this ribosomal RNA (301 nucleotides) under uncultured bacterium. Its description in RNAcentral is "partial 16S ribosomal RNA". It matches the Rfam family "Bacterial small subunit ribosomal RNA", at positions 509 to 808 of the family's 1533-position model. The record is from RNAcentral.
CAGUCGCCACGGUAAUACAGAGGGUGCGAGCGUUAAUCGGAUUUACUGGGCGUAAAGCGUGCGUAGGCGGCUAAUUGAGUCGGAUGUGAAAUCCCCGAGCUUAACUUGGGAAUUGCAUUCGAUACUGGUUAGCUAGAGUGUGGGAGAGGAUGGUAGAAUUCCAGGUGUAGCGGUGAAAUGCGUAGAGAUCUGGAGGAAUACCGAUGGCGAAGGCAGCCAUCUGGCCUAACACUGACGCUGAGGUACGAAAGCAUGGGGAGCAAACAGGAUUAGAUACCCCAGUAGUCCCCUGUCUCUUAUA